UUGUAUGGAGUUGGAACAUUUGCCUACGUUUGCCGCUAGGGGCGCUGUUCCAACUGCAUACGA
RNAcentral lists this microRNA precursor (63 nucleotides) under Bombyx mori (domestic silkworm). Its description in RNAcentral is "mir-2807 microRNA precursor family". It matches the Rfam family "mir-2807 microRNA precursor family", at positions 12 to 74 of the family's 84-position model. The record is from Rfam by way of RNAcentral. Lineage: Eukaryota; Metazoa; Arthropoda; Insecta; Lepidoptera; Bombycidae.